Molecule: RNA transcript, 1382 nt
Organism: Brassica napus (rape)
Lineage: Eukaryota; Viridiplantae; Streptophyta; Magnoliopsida; Brassicales; Brassicaceae
Gene name: protein REVEILLE 8-like
Exons: 9
Source: RefSeq, a predicted model, not a curated record
UCGAAGCGUAACCUACUCCACAUAAUAUUUUAGACGCACACCAACUUUCUUGCCCGCCAUGUGGAUUUUCCACUUCUCUCUCUCUCCCUCUCUCUCUCUCUCUAAACAGUGUCGUUAUCUUAAUUAAAACCGAUGAGCUCCUCGCCGACAAGGAAUCCGACGUCUGCUGAAGUGCCACCACCGUUAUCAUCAACAUCGACUGAUGCGGAGGGUUCGUCGAAGAAGGUGAGGAAACCUUAUACCAUCACCAAGUCUAGGGAGAGCUGGACAGAGGAAGAGCACGAUAAGUUCUUGGAAGCGCUUCAACUGUUUGAUCGUGACUGGAAGAAGAUAGAAGAUUUCGUGGGUUCCAAGACAGUUAUUCAGAUAAGGAGUCAUGCACAAAAAUACUUUUUAAAGGUUCAGAAAAACGGGACACUAGCACACGUUCCACCCCCUCGGCCUAAGCGCAAAGCAGCUCACCCUUAUCCUCAAAAAGCAUCCAAGAACGCUCAAAUGCCACUUCAAGUGUCCACUUCAUUUACUAGUCGAAAUAGCGACAUGGCUGGUGGAUAUACUUCGUGGGACGACGUAUCAAUGAUGCUUAACAGAGUCAUUUCACCACGACAGGAACUUGCUACUCUUCGUGGAGCAGAAGAUAAUAUUGGGUCGACGGGCUUAUUAAAUGUUAGUAGCCCUUCGACCUCCGGUAUGGGAAGCUCAAGCCGAACACUAUCAGGUUCUGAUAUUAUAGUACAACAGGCACAACAACCUCCGGUGCUUCAAGCUGUUCCUGAUUUUGCUGAAGUUUAUAACUUCAUUGGGAGUGUGUUUGAUCCUGAAAAGAGAGGCCACGUGGAAAAGCUUAAGGAAAUGGAUCCUGUAAACUUUGAAACUGUUCUAUUAUUGAUGAGAAACCUCACAGUUAACUUAUCAAACCCUGAUUUGGAAUCCGCAUCUGACUGUAAUGAUGCCUGCAGAGGAACGUACUCUCAUCAGAUGAGGUGAAAACCGAGAUCCCAAGUGUUACCACUGGUUCCUUUGUACCCAACUCAACAAGCGACAAAUCUGAUUCUUGAAGAUAUCAGCCAUCAGUUCUUAAAGUUAAAAUAAACUUUUUGAGUUUUAUAUACGUCAAUGUAUUCAAUACGGUCUGUUGUUGUUUUGAGGAGAAGGGACAUGAGUGAAGUUUUCAAGCUUCAUGUGAAGAUUUUUGACCAGGACUAGUUCCGUGAAUGGUAUAGGUUUAAUAUAUUCAAGAGGUAUCCAUUUUCUACUAGUUCUUGGUCUUCAAGCUGUGGUUCGUGAGUGGAGGAGGGCAGCUUCAUCCUCACACAAUUGUACAAAAUACUAUUUCUACUUUUGUUAUCUUUUUGUUUUGUGUUUAUAUUAUAUGUUCUGUC